This 212-nucleotide ribosomal RNA is filed under the name uncultured Oceanibaculum sp. Its description in RNAcentral is "partial 16S ribosomal RNA". It matches the Rfam family "Bacterial small subunit ribosomal RNA", at positions 1170 to 1382 of the family's 1533-position model. Lineage: Bacteria; Pseudomonadati; Pseudomonadota; Alphaproteobacteria; Rhodospirillales; Oceanibaculaceae. The record is from RNAcentral.
GAAGCGGGGAUGACGUCAAGUCCUCAUGGCCCUUAUGGGCUGGGCUACACACGUGCUACAAUGGCGGUGACAGAGGGCAGCGAGAGGGCGACCUCGAGCUAAUCCCUAAAAACCGUCUCAGUUCGGAUUGUACUCUGCAACUCGAGUGCAUGAAGGUGGAAUCGCUAGUAAUCGCGGAUCAGCAUGCCGCGGUGAAUACGUUCCCGGGCCUU